AAGGUACUUGAUUGAACUCAAU
This 22-nucleotide non-coding RNA is filed under the name Arabidopsis thaliana (thale cress). The record is from RNAcentral. Lineage: Eukaryota; Viridiplantae; Streptophyta; Magnoliopsida; Brassicales; Brassicaceae.